Molecule: ribosomal RNA, 497 nt
Filed under: uncultured bacterium
Lineage: Bacteria
Description: partial 16S ribosomal RNA
Rfam family: Bacterial small subunit ribosomal RNA
Source: RNAcentral
GAUGAACGCUGGCGGCGUGCCUAAUACAUGCAAGUCGAGCGAACAGACGAGGUGCUUGUUCCUCCUACGUUAGCGGCGGACGGGUGAGUAACACGUGGAUAACCUACCUAUAAGAGUGGGAUAACUUCGGGAAACCGGAGCUAAUACCGGAUAAUAUAUUGAACCGCAUGGUUCAAGAGUGAAAGACGCUUUUGCUGCACCUUAUAAUUAUCUCCGCUCCGCAUUACCUAGUUGGUAAGGUAACGGCUUCCCAGGGCAAGGUACCGAGGCCGACCUGAGAGGGUGACCGGCAAAACUGGAACUGGGCAACGGCCCAGCCUCCUACGGGAGCCACAAGAAGGGAUCUUUCCGCAAUGGGCGAAAGCCUGCCGGAGCACCGCCGGGUGGGUGAGGAAGGUCUUCGGAUCUUAAACCCCUGUUAUUAGGGAAGAACAAAUGUGUAAGUAACUGUGCACGUCUUGACGGUACCUACUCAGAAAGCCACGGCUAACUACGUG